This 488-nucleotide ribosomal RNA is filed under the name uncultured archaeon. RNAcentral describes it as "bacterial SSU rRNA". It matches the Rfam family "Archaeal small subunit ribosomal RNA", at positions 93 to 560 of the family's 1478-position model. The record is from RNAcentral.
GUAACACGUAGUCAACCUGCCCUGGAGACGCGGACAAACCCGGGAAACUGGGGCCUAUCCGCGAUAGAUGACCUCACCUGGAAGGAGAGGCCGUCGAAAAGGGCGCACGGGUAUGCUCUGUGCGAACCGCUCCAGGAUGGGACUGCGGCCGAUCAGGCUGUUGGCGGGGUAAUGGCCCACCAAACCUGUAACCGGUACGGGCUUUGAGAGAAGGAGCCCGGAGAUGGACACUGAGACAAGGGUCCAGGCCCUACGGGGCGCAUCAGGCGCGAAACCUUCGCAAUGCGCGAAAGCGUGACGAGGCUAGUCCGAGUGCCUCCUGCUAAAGGGGGCUUUUCUCGGCUGUAAAUAGGCCGGGGAAUAAGGGGAGGGCAAGUCUGGUGUCAGCCGCCGCGGUAAUACCAGCUCCUCGAGUGGUCGGGACGAUUAUUGGGCCUAAAGCACCCGGUAGCCCGGUUCCGUAAGUCCCUCUGUUAAAAUCCCAGUCC